RNAcentral lists this ribosomal RNA (253 nucleotides) under uncultured bacterium. Its description in RNAcentral is "partial 16S ribosomal RNA". It matches the Rfam family "Bacterial small subunit ribosomal RNA", at positions 524 to 776 of the family's 1533-position model. The record is from RNAcentral.
UACAGAGGGUGCGAGCGUUGUCCGGAAUCACUGGGCGUAAAGGGCGCGUAGGUGGCGGCCCAAGUCCAUGGUGAAAGCUCGAUGCUCAACAUCGAGUCGGCCACGGAUACUGGGUUGCUCGAGCACUGUAGGGGCAGAUGGAAUUCCGGGUGUAGCGGUGGAAUGCGUAGAGAUCCGGAAGAACACCGGUGGCGAAGGCGGCCUGCUGGGACAGUGCUGACGCUGAGGCGCGACAGCGUGGGGAGCAAACAGG